AUAAUUAAAUGUAAAUAAAGCCACUCGAUAAGUAUUAACCUUCGUAAGCAAGCAAAACUAUAAUGAAAAUUUGAAACCCUCUAAUUAAUUAAUCUUGUUCUUGAUUCCCCACAGCAAUAUGAUUUGCACAUGCACCGGCAUCAUCUUGGUUCUCCAUAAUACUGUGACUUGCACCAGCAGUAGCACUAGCACCAGCACCAUCUCCAUCUUGGUUCUCCAUAAUACCGUGGCUUGCA
Molecule: unclassified non-coding RNA, 236 nt
Filed under: Hevea brasiliensis (rubber tree)
Lineage: Eukaryota; Viridiplantae; Streptophyta; Magnoliopsida; Malpighiales; Euphorbiaceae
Source: RNAcentral